GAUGAAGAACGUAGCGAAAUGCGAUACGUAAUGUGAAUUGCAAAUUCAGUGAAUCAUCGAGUCUUUGAACGCACAUUGCGCCCCCUGGUAUUCCGGGGGGCAUGCCUGUCCAAGCGUCAUUGCUGCCCUCAAGCACGGCUUGUGUGUUGGGCCCCGUCCUCCGAUCCCGGGGACGGGCCCGAAAGGCAGCGGCGGCACCGCGUCCGGUCCUCGAGCGUAUGGGGCUUUGUCACCCGCUCUGUAGGCCCGGCCGGCGCUUGCCGAUCAACCCAAAUUUUUAUCCAGGUUGACCUCGGAUCAGGUAGGGAUACCCGCUGAACUUAAGCAUAUCAAUAAGCGGAGGA
Molecule: unclassified non-coding RNA, 344 nt
Filed under: soil metagenome
Description: partial contains 5.8S ribosomal RNA, internal transcribed spacer 2, and large subunit ribosomal RNA
Rfam family: 5.8S ribosomal RNA (bases 1-119)
Source: RNAcentral